CAGGCUGUUUUCACUGCAGCCAGUCAUGAGGUGGGAGCCCUGGGGACGGUCUGACACUCCGCCCACUUCUGGUAAGGGGCAGGUUUUUGGAAAAUAAAAGGCAAGAAGAAGCACUGGAUUCCAAAUGUGUCUGUGUCUCCAUUGACUCCCUGGCAUCAUUCUGCUUGGCCUGGGUGCUAGAAUUGGUAUCUGAGGUACCAGUGAGUCUUGAGCAGCCUAUUCUCUUCAUUCCUUUAGAUUCUGGAUAUCAAGGAUUUGAGAUCAUGCAUCUGGAUCCCAUUCAUUUUCCCAUCCCUUCAUAUCAACCCUUUGCUCUUGCAACCUCAUCCACAAAAUAAAAU
Molecule: long non-coding RNA, 341 nt
Organism: Peromyscus californicus insignis
Lineage: Eukaryota; Metazoa; Chordata; Mammalia; Rodentia; Cricetidae
Exons: 3
Source: RefSeq, a predicted model, not a curated record